RNAcentral lists this long non-coding RNA (2559 nucleotides) under Zea mays. Its description in RNAcentral is "long non-coding RNA (ZMAY_LNC001830)". Lineage: Eukaryota; Viridiplantae; Streptophyta; Magnoliopsida; Poales; Poaceae. The record is from RNAcentral.
CCUGCUCGAGCUCCGUAAAACGGCCGCUGACCGAACCCAACCGGAGUAUAAAACCCUAUCAGACCUCGCCUCCUUCUCAACCCUCCUGCGCCGCCACAAAGGAACCUCGAUGUAGCAAGAGGAAGGGGAGUACAACGAGAGGGAGAGAGAGGUUUCCGCCGCCGCCGGAUAGAUCCAUACCACGGUGGUGGCAGGGCCGUAGUAAAGCGCCUGGGGUGACCGCGAGCGGCUACUGAAGCUAUCCGUGGCAUCUCCUGGCGAUGUAAUCCAACAACGCGCCACCAAUUUCUCGACGCCUUUCCACCGCCGCCGCGAGUGCCUGUGCCGCCGUGGGUAGGGUUCUGCGCGUCGCCAACUCUGGUAAGAACCUGCCCAUAGACUCACGUCAAUCCCUGCUACGCGUAGCACCAUCGGAAUCAAAGUUCGAUGCGCGGGUUGCGGGAUCGUAGCCCUACGGCGAUGGCGCCGCCGUAGAUGGAGUAGGCAUCGCCGCUGUCGGGUUCGAGUGAGGAAGAGAGUGCGUGGGCCGUCCAUCCAUCACUUAACGACUAUGAUUAAAAGAUUGGAUGGGCACGCCGUAGCCAUUGAUCGGAAGAUGAACGACAUAAAUUAGAUCGGGCAUACCCCUUCGCCGGAUGAAGCCACGCCGUUGGAUCUCAAUCGGACGCAUCUGGGGCGGUCUGGAGCGUUUUAAAUCCGUGCCGUCAAUCGCGAAUCGAAGAGCUACCAUAGCGUACCGGUUUAGGUAGUCUUAAACUAAUCUGAGUCGUCCAAUGGGGAUCGGGCGGCUGAGAAUAAACACUACCCUUCGGCCUCUGCGGUCUUAUAAAAGAGCCCCUAUCCUUUAUCUAUAUCAACCCGCCGUCCAGAAGCAGUAGAAAAGGAUUUAAAUCGGGUCCCUGGUAUUUACGGUUUAGACCCCAUGUUCUCUGGAAAUUCGGUGUGCACUCCAGGGAUAUGUGAAAACAGGAAAAAGAAUCUAGAAAAUGGAUUUCUAGAGUAAAAAUAAUUCCAGAACUCAUUUAAUUCAUAGAAAAUUCAUUUUAAAUCUUUUUUUAUCCAUUCUAGUGACAUCAAUUAUGUUUAGCCAUAAAACAUAGAUUAAAAUUAUCUACUUAAUUUAUUCUAUAAAAACACUUAAUAACUUCAGAAAAUCAUAACUCGGUAAUCGUAAUUCGGAAUUUAGUGAUUCUUGUUCCUACGAUCUCAUUACGACGCGUAGAAUAUUAUCAUGCAUUCUGUUCUGUUGUUUUGUGUGAUGUUAAUUUCUCCUGUACUAUGUUUGUUUGUAUUGUUGCGAGUAGACGAGCAAGUGACCGAGAACCCAGAUGUUCAGCAGGUGGAGACUGCUGAGCAGGAGCUCGUUGAAGGCAAGUUGUGUCCUUGAUCACUUCUAUUUACCCAUUAAUGUUCAUAUUAAUCAUUAUGAUCUGUAUAGGUUAAUUUUGAUGGGACCCAAUAGGUCAUCCUAGUUUGGCUAUCUUUAUACCUUGUUUACCACUGAACUUUUGGGUAGUACCUGCUAUUGCUUUAUGUGGUUUUGGGUAUUGAGAUACACAUUAUUCAUGAUCAUGCUUUUAUUAUCAAUUUGUUAUUUACUGUACAUGAUAAGAUCAUAUUGUUAAUUGGAACAUGGAGAACCACCCGCGAAACAGUGUUACCACAAGGGUGGUAUGGGACACCCUUGUCUGACUAAUUGGGAAAGCUAGUGGAGGACUACCUUACCCGAAAGGGGCAAGGGCAGUAGGGAGUGGUCGGUGUAGGGAGGUUCUCGGGUUUAUUUUGCUGCGAUGGCGGUCAGAUGGGGGAUCCUUGCAUCGCGCUUCCUAGAAAUUGUAGCGGGUUUUCUGAAGCUAGUGGAACUUUGUAAAGGCCUUGUAGUGUUACCUUGCCUCGCUUCCUUGGUAGAGGUGUAUGGGAUUCAUGACCCCUUGGUAGAUGGGUAACAUGACUCGUGGGUAAAGAUGUGCAACCUCUGCAGAGUGUAAAACUGGUAUAUCAGUCGUGCUCACGGUCAUGAGCGGCUAGGACCCUCACAUGAUUAACUUAUGGAAUUAAAUUUAAUUGGUCAUUUGCAUCGCAUUGUGGUUUAUUAUUAAUCUGAUCUAUUAUUACUCUGGUUUGGUAUUUACUUACAUUUAGUAACUGCUAAUAAAAUUUGACCAACUUAUUAAAAGCAAUGCUCAGCUUUAACCAUUAUUUGUUGAUCAGCCUUACACUUCACAUGAGCUCCCACCUUUGAUGAGUUCAUGCACAUUAUUACCCAUAACUUGUUGAGCUAUGAUCUUUUGUGAGCUCACUCUUGCGAUAUAUAAACCCGCAGGAGAAGAACAGGUGGUCCAGGAGGAGCCCUACAACGAGGAAUAUGAGCUUAUCUAGGUUGCGUCUCCCAGUGUGCUUGAUGACGACAAGGAAUAAUUAUUUAGUUCAUUUUAUUGUUAUCAUCUAUUUUUGUAAGACUUCCGCUAUGUAAUAAUGAUACUUGUGACAUUUAUCUCUAUACACUUUGUCAUUAUAUGUGAUGUUCUCCUUUGGCGCACAUAUGAGACGCACUCAGCU